AAUGAACGUUGGCGGCGUGGAUUAGGCAUGCAAGUCGAGCGCUCAUAGCAAUAUGGGAGCGGCGAACGGCGUAGUAAUGCAUCGGAACGUACCCUUCGGUCGGGGAUAGCCACGGGAAACUGUGGGUAAUACCCGAUGAUAUCUGCGGAUCAAAGGUGAGAUUCCGCCGGAGGAGCGGCUGAUGUGAUAUUAGCUUGAUGGUGGGGUAAUGGCCUACCAUGGCGAUGAUGUCUAGGGGGUGUGAGAGCAUGGCCCCCACGACCGGAACUGAGACACUGUCCGGACACCUACGGGUGGCUGCAGUCGAGAAUCUUCCGCAAUGGACGAAAGUCUGACGGAGCGACGCCGCGUGCGGGAUGAAGGCCCUUGGGUUGUAAACCGCUGUCAGAGGGGAUGAAAUCUCCGGGGGUACUCCCCCGGAGUUGACAGAGCCUCAAAGGAAGCACGGGCUAAGUACGUGCCAGCAGCCGCGGUAAAGUCUAGCA
RNAcentral lists this ribosomal RNA (485 nucleotides) under uncultured bacterium. RNAcentral describes it as "bacterial SSU rRNA". It matches the Rfam family "Bacterial small subunit ribosomal RNA", at positions 29 to 532 of the family's 1533-position model. The record is from RNAcentral.